UUCCGGUUGAUCCUGCCGGACCCGACUGCUAUUUGGGUGAGAAUAAGCCAUGCGAGUUGAAUGGGAUACCUAAAUUUUCCAUAGCAAACUGCUCAGUAACACAUGAUCAACUUACCCUAUAGAGAAAAAUAACCUCGGGAAACUGAGGAUAAUGUUUCAUAGUUGAAAAGGCUUGGAAAAGUUUUUCAAUUAAAAGGAUAAAAAAAAUGGUUUUUAUCCGCUAUAGGAUAGGAUCGUGGUUGAUUAUGGUUGUUGGUGAGGUAAUGGCUCACCAAGCCGAUAAUCGAUAGGGGCCGUGAGAGCGGGAGCCCCGAGAUGGGUACUGAGACAACGACCCAGGCCUUACGAGGCGCAGCAGGCGCGAAACCUCCGCAAUACACGAAAGUGUGACGGGGUUACCCAAAGUGUUCAGUUUUGAACUGUGGUAGGUGAGUAAUGUCCCCUACUAGAAAGGAGAGGGCAAGGCUGGUGCCAGCCGCCGCGGUAAAACCAGCUCUUCAAGUGGUCGGGAUAAUUAUUGGGCUUAAAGUGUCCGUAGCCGGUUUAGUAAGUUCCUGGUAAAAUCGGGUAGCUUAACUAUCUGUAUGCUAGGAAUACUGCUAAACUAGAGGGCGGGAGAGGUCUGAGGUACUACAGGGGUAGGGGUGAAAUCUUAUAAUCCUUGUAGGACCACCAGUGGCGAAGGCGUCAGACUGGAACGUGCCUGACGGUGAGGGACGAAAGCCAGGGGAGCGAACCGGAUUAGAUACCCGGGUAGUCCUGGCCGUAAACGAUGCAUACUAGGUGAUGGCAUGGCCAUGAGCCGUGUCAGUGCCGUAGGGAAACCGUUAAGUAUGCCGCCUGGGAAGUGCGGUCGCAAGGCUAAAACUUAAAGGAAUUGGCGGGGGAGCACCACAAGGGGUGAAGCCUGCGGUUCAAUUGGACUCAACGCCGGU
RNAcentral lists this ribosomal RNA (935 nucleotides) under uncultured archaeon. RNAcentral's name for it is "bacterial SSU rRNA". It matches the Rfam family "Archaeal small subunit ribosomal RNA", at positions 1 to 922 of the family's 1478-position model. The record is from RNAcentral.